This 368-nucleotide unclassified non-coding RNA is filed under the name Hevea brasiliensis (rubber tree). Lineage: Eukaryota; Viridiplantae; Streptophyta; Magnoliopsida; Malpighiales; Euphorbiaceae. The record is from RNAcentral.
AAUAUGUGCGUUGGGGUAAUUUUUAAGAAUAGCAUGGGACAACGAAGACGAAAGCUUGAACAAAACAAUUGAUUAACACAUUAACCAUCAAAAUUUUAUAGUUAUGCAAUAUAUCAUCAACGAAUAAAAAUAAAAUCUACCAGUGCUAAUCAACAAAAAAACGACAUUUGAGAACAUGUUUUUCCAAAUAGAGAAUCGGUGUCACUAAAUUUCUAAUAGAACAGAUGCAAAAAAAAUACUGAUCUCGAGAACUUAGCAAAUAUGAACAACCAUUAAUUCAACAAUAACGCGAGACGACAUAUAUAACAAACCUUUUCCUUCUGACUGACAACAAACUCCUAAUAAUAACGAAAGAUACACAUAUGAUU